GACAGAGGGUGCAAACGUUGCUCGGAAUUACUGGGCGUAAAGCGCGUGUAGGCGGACCGAUAAGUCAGGCGUGAAAUCCCCGAGCUCAACUCGGGAACUGCACCUGAAACUGCCGGUCUAGAGUGAUGGAGAGGGUAGCGGAAUUCCUGGUGUAGAAGUGAAAUUCGUAGAUAUCAGGAGGAACACCGGUGGCGAAGGCGGCUCACUGGCCCGUAACUGACGCUGAGGCACGAAAGCGUGGGGAGCAAACAGG
This 253-nucleotide ribosomal RNA is filed under the name uncultured bacterium. Its description in RNAcentral is "partial 16S ribosomal RNA". It matches the Rfam family "Bacterial small subunit ribosomal RNA", at positions 524 to 776 of the family's 1533-position model. The record is from RNAcentral.